This 137-nucleotide small nuclear RNA is filed under the name Echinops telfairi (small Madagascar hedgehog). RNAcentral's name for it is "U1 spliceosomal RNA (ENSETEG00000021566.1)". It matches the Rfam family "U1 spliceosomal RNA", at positions 1 to 139 of the family's 166-position model. Rfam says of the family: U1 is a small nuclear RNA (snRNA) component of the spliceosome (involved in pre-mRNA splicing). Its 5' end forms complementary base pairs with the 5' splice junction, thus defining the 5' donor site of an intron. There are significant differences in sequence and secondary structure between metazoan and yeast U1 snRNAs, the latter being much longer (568 nucleotides as compared to 164 nucleotides in human). Lineage: Eukaryota; Metazoa; Chordata; Mammalia; Afrosoricida; Tenrecidae. The record is from RNAcentral.
AUACUUACCUCGCAGGGGAGAUGCCAUGAUCACCAAGGUUUUUUUUCCAGAACGAGCCUUAUCCCUUGCACUCUGGAUGUGCUGACCCCUGCGAAUUCCCCAAAUGUGAGAACUCGACUGCAUCGUUUGUGNNNNNN